UUUCUCUAAGUCUCACAAUUAUGCAUUUACAACUUCUCAAAUCAUAUUAUUCAAGAUUUACUAGAAGCACUAAAAUUAAAGUGAAAUUCAAGUUAACUAUCUACCUCAAACUUUAUCACCCUACAACACAAAAGGUUUACUAAAAUCAACAAAACUAGAAUAUGAUCAAGGGUUCUCUCUAAUAGAAGAGAAGUAAUUUCUAUCCAACUUAUGUCAAAUCAAUUAUGAAAAAAUAAAUAUCUGACCAACAUUCCAGCACCACAAUAUAACCUCUAAAUCUCUAACUCGAUCUAACUCUUAAUCACUAAAAUUUUAAUCCAUCAAAAUGUCCAAUAGCAAAUUUCUUUCGCACAUAUUCAAUAUCUCUAGUAACCAACCAUACUCAAUUGAUUAAUCAUGCAAAAGCUUCAAACUAAAAUAUCCAAAAGAAUUUAAAAGACAUUGUUCUUACCCACUUUCU
RNAcentral lists this long non-coding RNA (460 nucleotides) under Medicago truncatula (barrel medic). Its description in RNAcentral is "long non-coding RNA (MTRU_LNC008503)". The record is from RNAcentral. Lineage: Eukaryota; Viridiplantae; Streptophyta; Magnoliopsida; Fabales; Fabaceae.